This 465-nucleotide ribosomal RNA is filed under the name uncultured bacterium. RNAcentral's name for it is "partial 16S ribosomal RNA". It matches the Rfam family "Bacterial small subunit ribosomal RNA", at positions 338 to 795 of the family's 1533-position model. The record is from RNAcentral.
CCUACGUGAGGCAGCAGUAGGGAAUCUUCCUCAAUGGGCGAAAGCCUGAUGGAGCAACGCCGCGUGGGUGAAGAAGGUCUUCGGAUCGUAAAACCCUGUUGUUAGAGAAGAAAGUGCGUGAGAGUAACUGUUCACGUUUCGACGGUAUCUAACCAGAAAGCCACGGCUAACUACGUGCCAGCAGCCGCGGUAAUCCGUAGGUGGCAAGCGUUAUCCGGAUUUAUUGGGCGUAAAGGGAACGCAGGCGGUCUUUUAAGUCUGAUGUGAAAGCCUUCGGCUUAACCGGAGUAGUGCAUUGGAAACUGGGAGACUUGAGGGCAGAAGAGGGGAGUGGAACGCCAUGUGUAGCGGUGAAAUGCGUAGAUAUAUGGAAGAACACCAGUGGCGAAGGCAGCUCUCUGGUCUGUAACUGACGCUGAGGUUCGAAAGCGUGGGUAGCAAACAGGAUUAGAUACCCGAGUAGUC